CUCGUAGGCGGUUCGUCGCGUCCGGUGUGAAAGUCCAUCGCUUAACGGUGGAUCCGCGCCGGGUACGGGCGGGCUUGAGUGCGGUAGAGGAGACUGGAAUUCCCGGUGUAACGGUGGAAUGUGUAGAUAUCGGGAAGAACACCAAUGGCGAAGGCAGGUCUCUGGGCCGUCACUGACGCUGAGAAGCGAAAGCGUGGGGAGCGAAACA
This 208-nucleotide ribosomal RNA is filed under the name uncultured bacterium. Its description in RNAcentral is "partial 16S ribosomal RNA". It matches the Rfam family "Bacterial small subunit ribosomal RNA", at positions 568 to 775 of the family's 1533-position model. The record is from RNAcentral.